GGCUUAAUGAGUAUAAUUUUAAGUCAAUCUGCCUAAUGAUGAAAUAUUUAAUGGCUCCAGUAUAACUGACUGUACAAAGGUAGCAUAAUCAAUUGUUUUUUAAUUGGAAACUGGGAUGAAAGAAUUAAUGAGAUAUAUACUGUCUCAUAUAUAUGUUAUUAAAUUAAAUUUUUAGUAAAAGUGCUGAAAUAAAUUUAUGGGACGAUAAGACCCUAUAGAAUUUAAUAUUAAAAUUUAAAUUGGAUUUAAUUUUAGAUUUUAAUAUUUAGUUGGGAGGAUUGGUAAAUUUGAUAAACUUUAUUUUAAACAUGAACUUUGAUUAAAGAAUGUUUAAUGAUUUUGUAUUAUAGAUCAUAAGAAAAAAUUACCUUAGGGAUAACAGCGUAAUAUCUUUUUUAAGAKCAAAUUAAUAAAGGUGAUUGCGACCUCGAUGUUGAAUUAAGAUAAAUUUUAAAUGGAGAAGUUUAAAAAUUAAGUCUGUUCGACUUUUAAAAUCUUACAUGAUUUGAGUUCAAAU
This 517-nucleotide ribosomal RNA is filed under the name Bombus funebris. RNAcentral's name for it is "partial large subunit ribosomal RNA". The record is from RNAcentral. Lineage: Eukaryota; Metazoa; Arthropoda; Insecta; Hymenoptera; Apidae.